Gadus macrocephalus (Pacific cod) is the source of this 1417-nucleotide long non-coding RNA. RefSeq lists it as uncharacterized. The transcript is spliced from 11 exons. The record is from RefSeq and is a predicted model, not a curated record. NCBI's taxonomy places the organism in Eukaryota, Metazoa, Chordata, Actinopteri, Gadiformes, Gadidae.
CACUUCCUCUUCGCUUCGUCUGCUGUUGUACGAGCAUCCUGGCUAGCGAAUGAGCUGAAUAAGGGAUCAAAUACGAUUGCCAAGACUCAUGACCUCCAGAGAUGAGACCUCUGAAGAGACCCAGACAAGGAUGUCAAUUGGUAUUCUACAUGAAAUGGUGUCAUGAUGAACCAUCUCUACCUUAAUUCCCAGAUAGAGUCUGGCCCCAGCCCAUAGGAUCAAUUUGAAGAUCCCCAAGAUGCCUGACCUCCUGCAGAGAAGAGGAUUCUGUAGAGAUCCAGGCGAAGGGAUGGCACUUUCCUUAAAAAGGACCUCCAAGACGCGUAACCUCCUGCAGAGAUGAGGAUCCUGACGACGCGAUGGCAAUUUACGCAUGAUGGUGUCAUGAUGAACCAUCUCUACCUGGACACCCAGAUGGGAGCCUGACCCCGGUCCAUAGAAUCAAUCUCAAGACCUCCAAGACGCGUAACCUCCUGCAGAGAUGAGGAUCCUGACGACGCGAUGGCAAUUUACGCAUGAUGUUGUCAUGAUGAACCAUCUCUACCUGGACACCCAGAUGGGAGCCUGACCCCGGUCCAUAGAAUCAAUCUCAAGACCUCCAAGACAAGUAACCUCCUGCAGAGAUGAGGAUCCUGACGACGCGAUGGCAAUUUACGCAUGAUGGUGUCAUGAUGAACCAUCUCUACCUGGACACCCAGAUGGGAGCCUGACCCCGGUCCAUAGAAUCAAUCUCAAGACCUCCAAGACACCCGACCCCCUGCAGAGAAGAGGAUUCUGAAGGGAUGGGAAUUUCAGCCUUUAGCUUAAAAAAGUAAUAUUUUGGGACUCACUUGGAGAGCUAUUGGGCUUUGAUCUAUAACAGUGAUGAGAUUUUACUUCGGUCCGUGUUGUUGAUACUUUGUGAGAAUAACAGAAGUUCCGAGUUUACCAAACUCGUUUUUCGUUUUUGUGUCGGUGCCUGGAAAAUCUAACUUGAAUUUGUUUUAUCAAGCCAGUGAUGAGAUCAAGAUUCCAGCAGUGGGAAUGAAGACCCAGAAAGAAUAUAAAAAUGUAAGCAUUAAUCAGGUUCUGUCAAAUGAAGAUACUUGGCCUUCCAAAAUUGGCAGUAACAUUUUGGAUUUGGAUAGUUAUAAUUAAGCUGCACUUGAUUUACUUGGGUCCAUGUUGUUGAAACUCAUUAGAAAUGUUCAGUUCAGUACUUUGACUUCAGUCCUUAAAAGUACUGCUGCAAAUGGCUAUUGCUGUAUGUAUUGUGUAGGAGUUUGCAUGUUAUGAUGGGACAUCAUUUGUAUUUCGGGAGAAAGCUGAUGUUACAGAAGCCUCUACCCUGAAUGCUGGCUGAAAACCCUGGUCACCUGCUUAUACAAUGUUCUGUUUAACUUUUUUCCCUUGAUUAAAGUACAAACGAUUUAAAAUG